UACGUAGGGGGCGAGCGUUGUCCGAAGUUACUGGGCGUAAAGAGUACGUAGGUGGCUUGUUAAGAUACAUCUGAAAGGUGACAGCUCAACUGUCAAUGGUGGUGUAAGACUGGCAGGCUUGAGGCAAGCAGAAGAGUGUGGAACUCCGAGUGUAGCGGUGGAAUGCGUAGAGAUUCGGAAGAACACCCAUGGCGAAGGCAGUACUCUGGGCUUGAACCGCAAGGUGAACCUGACACUGAGGUACGAAAGCCAGGGGAGCGAACGGG
RNAcentral lists this ribosomal RNA (266 nucleotides) under uncultured bacterium. Its description in RNAcentral is "partial 16S ribosomal RNA". It matches the Rfam family "Bacterial small subunit ribosomal RNA", at positions 524 to 776 of the family's 1533-position model. The record is from RNAcentral.